GCCAGGAACACCUGGAGGUGUGGAAACAUCUCUGAGUUUGGUGGUUGCGCUAAACAUCUGUGAAAGCAGGAUUAAUAAAUAAUCUUUUUAAAAAGGCUUUAAAUAAGGUUUUUGACUGUGAGGAGGUGGAUCAGUGUGACCACAGGCAGGGCAAAGAGGUCCAAUGUGGUCAAGAGUUGCCUAGUUCCUGCCCAGGAUGAGGAGCAGGUUGUGCCUCAGCACUGGGCUUGUUCCCACAGAGCAGACACAGGUGAGCCAAGAGCACCUGUAGAGGUGGAACCCUGAAAAUGGAGGAAAUAAGAGUUUAUUCUGGAUUUUUGGGCAUGGAAAGGAACAAGCGGGCAGGUAACUGUAGGGCAAUG
Molecule: long non-coding RNA, 362 nt
Filed under: Serinus canaria (Common canary)
Lineage: Eukaryota; Metazoa; Chordata; Aves; Passeriformes; Fringillidae
Description: lncRNA (ENSSCAG00000001195.1)
Source: RNAcentral